Molecule: ribosomal RNA, 509 nt
Filed under: uncultured bacterium
Lineage: Bacteria
Description: partial 16S ribosomal RNA
Rfam family: Bacterial small subunit ribosomal RNA
Source: RNAcentral
GACGAGCGCUGGCGGUGUGCUUAACACAUCCAAGUGGUGCGACGAACCAGACUUCGGUCUGGGGCAAAGCCGCGAACGGGUGAGUAACACGUGGGUAAUCUGCCCCGAGGACUGGGACAACCCGAGGAAACUCGGGCUAAUACCGGAUGAUGUGCCUGGACAUAAGUCUGGUCACUAAAGGUAGCUUCGGCUUCCGCAUUGGGAGGGGCCCGCGGCCCAUUAGCUUGUUGGUGGGGUCAAGGCCUACCAAGGCAACGAUGGGUAGCUGGUCUGAGAGGACGAUCAGCGACAGUGGGACGGAGACACGGCCCAGACUCCUACGGGAGGCAGCAGUGGGGAAUCUUGCGCAAUGCGCGAAAGCGUGACGCAGCAACACCGCGUGAGGGAAGACGGCCUUAGGGUUGUAAACCUCUUUCAGAUGGGACGAAGGUACGACGGUGAAUAGCCGAUCGGAUUGACGGUACCGUCAGAAGAAGCUCCGGCUAACUACGUGCCAGCCGCCGCCGUAA